Non-coding RNA from Anas platyrhynchos (mallard), 3475 nucleotides. NCBI's taxonomy places the organism in Eukaryota, Metazoa, Chordata, Aves, Anseriformes, Anatidae. The record is from RefSeq and is a predicted model, not a curated record.
AAAGAUGCAUCGUGCUAUUUGUUAUGUGCUGGCACAGCUCAGUGUCCAGUCUGUUGGGAAUGCCACCGCAGGAGCUAUCGUGCUCCUUCCCCCAGACCUCCUUUUGGAUCUUGCACCUUAUCCCUUUCUUUUUCUCUAUGUAAAAGGAUACAGAAUUGCCCUACCCUAUCCUUUCUCCUUUUUCUACACCAAUCUUCCUCCUCUUAAUCUCACAUUCCCCAUUUAUUGCACUAUUGAUUUGCUUCCCACAUUUUUUCGUCUCAUUCCUCCUAUUACACUGAAGCUCUCUGCCUGGCCAGCACACCUCUCUCUUGGCCUUCAGCUGGCCUUUCUUUCUCAUUGGUGUCCUCUUGUCCACCCUCUGGGCAUCCUUCACCUUCCCCUUGGCCAUGUCCAGGUUGUACAGGGUAGGCCUUGGGAAGGAUCCCUGGGUUAGCUCAGAACCAGCUGGCUUGGGCGGUGUAACCACAACUGCAUUGAGAUGAUGCUCUGCCCAGUGAGCUGAGGGCUGUUUGUCAGUCCAAGCAGUGUCACGUUAGUAUUGCUGAAUCACCUCCGGAGUUAGCUUGGACAUCUCGAUGUGUUAGACACAGCCUGAAUCUAACUCAGCUCACAACAGGCAGGGAACGUAAAUCUUAUCUGUAUUUGCAAAGCAGUGCUUAAGUUGGUGAUGGCAAGCUUUAAGAGACAAAUCCUAGAAUGGCAGCACUUCAGGAUACCCGUGUAACUCUUCAGUGGUCUUUUUCUCCUGCAGUCUGAGGAUCAUGGAAAAUAGGGGUCCGGUUCAGUUCUCCCUUCCAGCUGACUUCUUGCCAGCACAGUCAAAUAGCAAGGCACAUCAUGGCUGUGUUUCCUUGAGGCGCUGGCACAAAGAACCUUGAGGUGAACUGCUUUGGAGACUGCAAUCAUACACAGACCAUGUCUGUGAUGCAACAGGAUACAGAGACUGUCUUAAGCAAUUUGUCUUGCUAACAUACAGCUGUACAGUAGGGUGAAUUUGACUAUCAUUAGAAACCAGAAGCCCAAUAUGGGGGAGUGUUACAAAUGCCCAAAUCCACAAUUGAAGUUGACAUGUUACUAGGCACUGGGACAUACGGCUUGCCCCAGGCCUAGGAGACAGAGCGCCAAGGAGCUAGGAGCACAGAUUACACCCUGUGACUUACCUUUAUCAACACAGCUAACUAGAACAAUCCAAAACAAAAUGAUGAACAUGCAUUCAGAUACUACAAUGGCAAUGGCUCCAAGGACAGAGAAAUGUAAGUAGUGCAAAAUUCUUAUCCUAACCUCAACCACAGUCAGAUCCAUCCAAGAACCAAAAUAACUGAUGUUCCAUGCAGCUAUCUGAUCCUUCUUUAAAAUAUCACCAGUUACACUUCUAACCACAAUGGAAAGCAUUUUUUUUUUUUAAUUACAUAUUACAUUCUAUUAUCAGUUGCAUUCCAGGCCUUUAUUUCAAGCUUGCUCAAUAGUGUCGGCCAGAUCUUAAAUCUCAGUUCAUAAUAAUUUUAGCUAUUUUACUGUACUGCAUGUUCAUCAGACACAUUUGCAUUCUCUUUUGUCAAGGCAGAAUAACCCUAGCCUUUUUAGGCUUUUCUUUUCCAGGAUGCUCCAUCACACUCUUUCUGUUUUCUAAAAUAUGCAUUCCUUGACUUUAUUGGAUCCCUCUUCAAGGUGGAUGCCCAAGAUGGACUGUGCUGUCUGAGUUCCUGAAUGCUUAGCACUUUUUAAAUAAUUACUUUUUUAAAAAAUUACUUUUUCCUGCAUUUUGUUUGAAUUAAGAAUAUGAAUUUGAACUUCUCCUUAACAAGUCAUUUUCUGCCUAACAUGGUAACUUCUGUUUAAAUCCUGUUUAGUUCUUGCGUUGUAUCUGCUGAAGUGUAUCACUCUGUGGUCAGUACAUGAAGCUCUCUGUUCCACUCCCAGCUACAGCCUAAUUCCAGACCACUUCAUGCACACAAUCAGCAAGUAGCUGCAUGUUAAAGUCCAACAUCUGGAAAAUAAAUCCUAAAGCAAAAUGGUUUUAAAAAUAAAUUGGCCACAAAUUUUAUAUAUAGAUAUAUAUAUAUAUGUAUACGUAUGUGUGUAUAUAUAUACAUAUAUAUAUACACACACACAUUUUUAUUGUCAGAUAUUUUAUCUCCAUUCCCCAACUGGAGCUCUGAGUAUCUAUAUCAAAAGAGAACAAUUUCAUUUGUGUUUUCAACUUCCACUGGGCUCCCUGUGUUUAUAAGCACAAGGGAUUCUUCAAGACAGACAGCCGGGACAGGCUAACAACUUAAGUGUAAGAACAAUGAAAUUUAUCCUUACCUUCACAAAGAAGUCUUGGAGUGGAUUUUAGAUCUAUGCUGAGAAUGUGGCAGAGAAUAUGCCCCCAGCACUGUAGUGUGGUCUGUGAGUCUUAGGUGAUUCCCUACACUGUAGGUACAUAACACUUAUUUUCCAGCAUCAUGAUAAGCUUCUUUGGUUUCUUUGUGCAUUUGUGUUGCUGAGCUGUUUUGGAAACUGUUGGUUAGUAAUGUUUACACUACAAAAUAAUACCUUUGCACAUCUACAGCAGGACUUUCCUCCAGGAUUUGUGUACUCAAAAAAAAUAAAUAAUCAGCACUUGCGUCACAGAAUCACAGAACGGUUGAAGAUGGAAGGGACCUCUGGAGAUCAUCUGGUCCAAUCCUCUUGCCAAGCAGAGUCACCUAGCGCAUGUUGCACAGGAUCACAUCCAGUUCUGAUAUGCAAGCAAAGCGGAUACCUCCCACCUAAGCAAAGAGGGACAUCUGAGCCAUUCGGAUACCCACGAGGAAGGAAACUUCUUAUCCUACCUAGCAGGGUGAACUUCCACGUGUAGAGACAUGCUGAGCCAAUUCAAGCCUCUUAAAGUGACAAGGCACUGGAGGAGGGCUCUCCAAGUAUGUGUAAUACUCAACACUGUUUUUAUCAAAAGAAUCCAGGUAAAAUUGGAAAAGUACAGUAUUAACACGAACCCUGGUGAAAAUAUAUGCUGGACUGAGAUCUUGUUUAUUCAUUUACAGUCCAUGUUUCUUUUGUCUCAGCAUGCCAGUGUGCUGUGUUGUUGUAUGCUACAAGCUGAUGAUUUCAGCUGCUAUGAUUCGUUAGAGCAAAUAAGGUGAUUAAUGAAAAUGUUAUGCAGACAGCAAUUGAAGCCAAAAAGGAAACUCCCCAGCCUUGAUUCUCCCUCCUCCAGGAAGGGGAAAAAAAAUCAGACCCACAGCUGACACAACUGAACCAAAUGUGUCUACAGGGAAUGUGUAUUAAGGUACCAACAGAAACACGAGGUUUCCAUUACAAAUGGCUGUCUGGAUCUUUCCUCUUCUGCCUCAGAAUUGCUCAGUCAUUACCAGUCCACUCUGCAAACUCCAAAGAGCUCCAGACAUCUGACUGUUAGUAGUUCCAUGGGAGCUCUUACAAUUAUUAUGGUCCCUGGCACCCUCUCUCUCUCCAGCCCACUCUUACAGUGUGG